GGAGGGAGCUAGCGUUGUUCGGAAUUACUGGGCGUAAAGCGUACGUAGGCGGUUAUUCAAGUCAGAGGUGAAAGCCCGGGGCUCAACCCCGGAACUGCCUUUGAAACUAGAUAGCUAGAAUCUUGGAGAGGUCAGUGGAAUUCCGAGUGUAGAGGUGAAAUUCGUAGAUAUUCGGAAGAACACCAGUGGCGAAGGCGACUGACUGGACAAGUAUUGACGCUGAGGUACGAAAGCGUGGGGAGCAAACAGGAUUAGAUACCCUGGUAGUCCACGCCGUAAACGAUGAUAACUAGCUGUCCGGGCACUUGGUGCUUGGGUGGCGCAGCUAACGCAUUAAGUUAUCCGCCUGGGGAGUACGGUCGCAAGAUUA
This 370-nucleotide ribosomal RNA is filed under the name uncultured bacterium. RNAcentral's name for it is "bacterial SSU rRNA". It matches the Rfam family "Bacterial small subunit ribosomal RNA", at positions 527 to 896 of the family's 1533-position model. The record is from RNAcentral.